GCAAUAAUCGAAGCGCCAGGACCUUAUUAUCAUAAGUAUGAUUGAGGUCGACGAGGAAGAGGGUUAUCGAAACAUUCGGCGGAUCCCUCUCGGUGGCUUGUCGCCGUAAAGCUUGCUUAAAACCAGAGAGUAAUUUUUGGGACAAAGGUAAAGCUGACAAGACAA
This 165-nucleotide non-coding RNA is filed under the name Desulfosporosinus orientis. Its description in RNAcentral is "GlcN6P sequence". It matches the Rfam family "glmS glucosamine-6-phosphate activated ribozyme aptamer". From Rfam's summary of the family: This entry contains a glucosamine-6-phosphate activated ribozyme that is found in the mRNA for GlmS. The record is from RNAcentral. RNAcentral also lists the same sequence under 1 other name. Lineage: Bacteria; Bacillati; Bacillota; Clostridia; Eubacteriales; Desulfitobacteriaceae.